GGAGGCGUGGCAGAGCGGCCGAAUGCGGCGGUCUUGAAAACCGCUGUGCCGCAAGGCACCGGGGGUUCGAAUCCCUCCGCCUCCGCCA
This 88-nucleotide transfer RNA is filed under the name Planctomycetota bacterium. RNAcentral's name for it is "Planctomycetes bacterium (bioreactor metagenome) tRNA-Ser". It matches the Rfam family "tRNA". From Rfam's summary of the family: Transfer RNA (tRNA) molecules are approximately 80 nucleotides in length. Their secondary structure includes four short double-helical elements and three loops (D, anti-codon, and T loops). Lineage: Bacteria; Pseudomonadati; Planctomycetota. The record is from RNAcentral.